Molecule: long non-coding RNA, 634 nt
Filed under: Cyanistes caeruleus (blue tit)
Lineage: Eukaryota; Metazoa; Chordata; Aves; Passeriformes; Paridae
Description: lncRNA (ENSCCEG00000014286.1)
Source: RNAcentral
CACGCACAACUUCCUUUCCUUUUGGAUAUGGAAAACAGGGAAGAGAGGGUAGUGUGACAUUAGCACUAAUUUCUAGCAGAUUUUUAACUGCCCCUGAUGCUCAUUCAUCUUUGCAGUGUGGGUUUUCAUGCUGACAAAUCCUCUGCUUUGCCUUCUGCUCACAGUCAGCUGGGCCCUUUAUUGAACAGAUUUAUCUGCUACAAGGCUACGCAGAAGGAUGGAAAGGAGGAACACAGGGGGGAAAAAAAAUAGAUUCAAGGCAUAGAGAAGGUAGCUGGUUUAUUUGUAUGACAUGUAGCUUUUUUAGGAUGUUUUGUUCUUUAUAUGGCGUUAAUUUCAAAGAGAAGCCUGUGAACUUUGUGUUCCCCUUUUGGGGCUGGUUCUGGGGUAAGGGGGAAACACGAGGCCUAAGCACCUCUGGCUUAUCUGUCCAAGGAUCUGCCUCAGUUGUGGCUCCCAUCCUUCUGAAGGACUCUUCAGCGCAACCCGUCCGAGCCUGGCGUUCGCUACAGGCCUCCGCGUGGUGGGAGAUGAGUCUAGGAGGAAAUACCUUCAAUCCACAGACGAGGCAGAAAGGACUCAGUACAAGGAGGACUGGACUCAGAUGAAGUGAAGGAAACUGGAAUUCCUUCUU